Molecule: ribosomal RNA, 258 nt
Filed under: uncultured prokaryote
Description: partial 16S ribosomal RNA
Rfam family: Bacterial small subunit ribosomal RNA
Source: RNAcentral
UACGUAGGUGCGAGCGUUGUCCGGAAUUAUUGGGCGUAAAGAGCUUGUAGGCGGUUUGUCGCGUCUGCUGUGAAAAUCCGGGGCUCAACCCCGGACUUGCAGUGGGUACGGGCAGACUAGAGUGUGGUAGGGGAGACUGGAAUUCCUGGUGUAGCGGUGAAAUGCGCAGAUAUCAGGAGGAACACCGAUGGCGAAGGCAGGUCUCUGGGCAGUUACUGACGCUGAGGAGCGAAAGCAUGGGUAGCGAACAGGAUUAGA